RNAcentral lists this transfer RNA (64 nucleotides) under Lethocerus deyrollei. RNAcentral describes it as "tRNA-Ile". Lineage: Eukaryota; Metazoa; Arthropoda; Insecta; Hemiptera; Belostomatidae. The record is from RNAcentral. RNAcentral also lists the same sequence under 1 other name.
AAUAGAGUGCCUGAUUAAAGGGCUAUCUUGAUAGGGUAGAUCAAGUACUAAUGUACCUCUAUUA